This 468-nucleotide ribosomal RNA is filed under the name uncultured bacterium. RNAcentral's name for it is "partial 16S ribosomal RNA". It matches the Rfam family "Bacterial small subunit ribosomal RNA", at positions 28 to 507 of the family's 1533-position model. The record is from RNAcentral.
GACGAACGCUGGCGGUGUGCUUAACACAUGCAAGUCGAACGGAAACGCCCUGCUUUCUUGGGCUGCUCGAGUGGCGAACGGGUGAGUAACAGGUGAGUAACCUGCUCUAGACUUUGGGAUAGCUUCAGGAAACGGGAGCUACUACCGUACAGCAGCCCCCCCUCCAUGGAGGGGGUGGGAAAGUCGCGGCGGGCGGGGAUGGAUGCGCGGCUGAUCAGCUUGUUGGUGGGGUGGUGGCUGACCAAGGCUUUGACGGGUAGCCGGCCUGAGAGGGUGGCCGGCGACAUUGGGACUGAGGGACGGACCAGACUCCUACGGGAGACAGCGGUGGGGAAUAUUGCACAAUGAGAGGAAGCCGGAUGCAGAGACGCCGCGUGCGGGAUGACGGCCUUCGGGUUGUAAACAGCAGUCGCCUGUGACGAAGCGUGAGUGACGGUAAUGAGUAAAGAAGCACCGGCUAACUACGUG